UACGAUACGAGUUUGAUCAUGGCUCAGAACGAACGCUGGCGGCAGGCCUAACACAUGCAAGUCGAGCGGACCUUUCGGGGUCAGCGGCGGACGGGUUAGUAACGCGUGGGAACGUGCCCGAAGGUACGGAAUAGUCCCGGGAAACUGGGGGUAAUACCGUAUGUGCCCUAUGGGGGAAAGAUUUAUCGCCUUCGGAUCGGCCCGCGUUGGAUUAGGUAGUUGGUGGGGUAAUGGCCUACCAAGCCGACGAUCCAUAGCUGGUUUGAGAGGAUGAUCAGCAACACUGGGACUGAGACACGGCCCAGACUCCUACGGGAGGCAGCAGUGGGGAAUCUUAGACAAUGGGGGAAACCCUGAUCUAGCCAUGCCGCGUGAGCGAUGAAGGCCUUAGGGUUGUAAAGCUCUUUCAGCUGGGAAGAUAAUGACAGUACCAGCAGAAGAAGCCCCGGCUAACUCCGUG
RNAcentral lists this ribosomal RNA (460 nucleotides) under uncultured bacterium. Its description in RNAcentral is "bacterial SSU rRNA". It matches the Rfam family "Bacterial small subunit ribosomal RNA", at positions 1 to 507 of the family's 1533-position model. The record is from RNAcentral.